CCACAGCUCAGUGUUAGAGCUUGUGUUUUGCAUGCAGAAGGUCCCAGGUUCAAUCCCUGUUAUAUAAAGG
This is a non-coding RNA of Podarcis lilfordi (Lilford's wall lizard), 70 nucleotides long. The record is from the annotation of a GenBank genome assembly. NCBI's taxonomy places the organism in Eukaryota, Metazoa, Chordata, Lepidosauria, Squamata, Lacertidae.